GAGUUUGAUCUUGGCUCAGAGCGAACGCUGGCGGCAGGCCUAAUACAUGCAAGUCGAACGGCUCUUCGGAGCAGUGGCGGACGGGUGAGUAACGCGUGGGAACGUGCCCUUUGGUUCGGAACAACACAGGGAAACUUGUGCUAAUACCGAAUGUGCCCUUCGGGGAAAGGAUUUAUCGCCAUUGGAGCGGCCCGCGUUGGAUUAGCUAGUUGGUGGGGUAAAGGCCCACCAAGGCGACGAUCCAUAGCUGGUCUGAGAGGAUGAUCAGCCACACUGGGACUGAGACACGGCCCAGACUCCUACGGGAGGCAGCAGUAGGGAAUCUUGCGCAAUGGGCGAAAGCCUGACGCAGCCAUGCCGCGUGAAUGA
This 369-nucleotide ribosomal RNA is filed under the name uncultured Alphaproteobacteria bacterium. RNAcentral describes it as "bacterial SSU rRNA". It matches the Rfam family "Bacterial small subunit ribosomal RNA", at positions 9 to 408 of the family's 1533-position model. Lineage: Bacteria; Pseudomonadati; Pseudomonadota; Alphaproteobacteria. The record is from RNAcentral.